CACACCGCCCGUCACAUCAUGAAAGCCGUUUGUACCCGAAGUCACUACGCUAACCGCAAGGAAGCCGGUGCCGAAGGUAUGGAUGGUGAUUGGGAUG
RNAcentral lists this ribosomal RNA (97 nucleotides) under uncultured bacterium. Its description in RNAcentral is "partial 16S ribosomal RNA". It matches the Rfam family "Bacterial small subunit ribosomal RNA", at positions 1386 to 1482 of the family's 1533-position model. The record is from RNAcentral.